This 424-nucleotide long non-coding RNA is filed under the name Manihot esculenta (cassava). Its description in RNAcentral is "long non-coding RNA (MESC_LNC001828)". Lineage: Eukaryota; Viridiplantae; Streptophyta; Magnoliopsida; Malpighiales; Euphorbiaceae. The record is from RNAcentral.
CUAUAAUUAUGUAAGACUGAAAGUGUAGUGGAUCUACUCUUUUCAGCGUGUGUAGACACUGUUUUCUUAAGGUUUCUAUUUUUCAUUCUUGAUGUUCUGUUUUGUGGGUCUGUUCUCCGGUUAUUUACUUCAAUUUAGCUUUCUAUUUUUAUAUUGGUUGCCAUCGUUUAUGGCUGAGUCGGUCGCUUUGGGAGGUUGGAGUGCUUCGUUGUUGAUUGGUUUUCCUCGGUGUGAUUGGAGAGGCUUCAUAGGUGUUGCUUCAGGCGGUGAUGGUUGGCAACUUCGCAUGCAGAGUCGGUCGGUUUAAGGGGCGGCUGUUUGGAAACUAGUAUUGAGCGAGUCAAAUUGGACAUGGGCUUCCCUUAUUACGACCCAUGGGCUUAGUGAAACUUCUUAGAAACUUCCUCUUUGUAACUCACAUUUC